This 1236-nucleotide long non-coding RNA is filed under the name Canis lupus familiaris (dog). RNAcentral describes it as "lncRNA (ENSCAFG00000055968.1)". The record is from RNAcentral. Lineage: Eukaryota; Metazoa; Chordata; Mammalia; Carnivora; Canidae.
AAUUAAUUUCUUGACAAUAACACUUGCAUCUAUACUUCAGUCUGCUAGUCAAUUUAUAUAAAAAUUAUAACAUGUUUAUUACUGAUUUCUUUUUUUAAAAGGUAUAUUUAUUUGAGAGAGAGAGAGCACGAGUGCAUAGGGAGGGGUAGAGGAAGAGGGAGGGAGAAAUUUUAGCAGACUCCUCACUGAGCUCAGGGCCCGACAGGGGACUUGAUCUCAGGACCCUGAGAUCAAGACCUGAGCUGAAACCAAGAGUCUGACGCGCAACCAAUUGCACCACCCAGGGGCCCCACUAAUGAUUUAUUUCUUAAUAAUCACGCCCUUCCUCUCCUGCUGAGUUGCUUCUGAACUUAAAGGUUAAUGAAACUGAAGCACAUUUUAAAACUUUCUAUGUGAGCCAUGAUAAGUUCUCUGUUCUUAACAGAAAAACAGUAACAUGGAACUACAUAUAUGGUUGUCUCUCUUGCCAGUUAGGUUAUUUAUAUCUUAUCAGAAAAAAGCCAUUGUAUUGAUAUAUCUACCUGCUACUUAACAGGGCGAAACUUAAUUGUGACAUUGUAGGAAACCAAUGAUCAGGGAGUGUAUAAAUUACUCAUUCACUAAACUCAAAAUACAAAUGGCCAGCAGAUAAUUUAUGGUGACGAUGUAAAUGGCAAAAAUGCUAGGAGAUAACAAGCACUGGUUUUUAAAAGAUCAAACAUCAAAGCAAACUGCAGUGUUGAAUCCAUUUUGAAAACCACUUAUUCUGAAUAAAUGUUAUGUUUGAAAAGACAAAGAGCUGGAUAAUCACUUGUGAGCAGGAAAAUAAAUCAUUUGUUGUUACAGAAUUUGAAAAAUCAACGCUAUGACUUUUAGAUUGUCCAGUAAUUUCCUUUGCAGCUAGUAAUUUUUAAAACAUAGCUACAAAACAGUUUUGCUAUUCCUACCGAAUACUUGAUGAGUGAUGAUUUAUAUAGAAAAGGAGUAAAAGCAAGGAGUGUUUCUUAUGGAAUUUAUGCUUUGUGUAACUCUAGGAGUCUCACACAUCAUAUGUGCUUUCACCAUGAAGAUAAGGAAACUAUUUGCCAACCCUCAUUUAAUCCGAAAGUAGACUCUGUGUGAAUGAAGUGACUUCUUUAUGCAGCCAAGUCUGUGGUUCCAGUUGAAAGGUAUGUUUCAUGGCUCUCCAACAUUCUGAUCUUAGACUUUGCAUCUUAUAUGGGAAAAUAAACUUCCCAUAACACACACCAUUUUGUA